AUAGAAUUAUUAUGAUGAAAAUUAGCUGUAAGUUCCCAAAAAAAACAACCUAGCUUUGCUGUUUUCAUAAAUGAUGUGCUCUAUUGAUCAAGCACUUUAUCUCUUAUUGUGGCAAGUCCACUGCUAGGAUAGUUAUCUAAUUCUAUCCAAGUUUCUGUGUAUCUAUGUACGCUACCACCCACGCAGUUGCUCAAUGAACAAGAAAUAGGUUUAUACACAAUUUAUAUGGACUUCCUGUGGCUUGGCUCUCCGACAUCAUUAGCAAAAUUCGUAUACUUCCGUCUCACGUGAAGAGGAAAAUGGCCUUCUGCUCUGUGAAGGUUUCUCUGUGAUGCUGCUGCUCUUGUUCAAGAUGGCAAGACAAAUAAGUGAAAGGACCUUAAUGAUUGAAGGACCUAGAA
Long non-coding RNA from Amphimedon queenslandica, 401 nucleotides. RefSeq lists it as uncharacterized. The record is from RefSeq and is a predicted model, not a curated record. The transcript has 2 exons. NCBI's taxonomy places the organism in Eukaryota, Metazoa, Porifera, Demospongiae, Haplosclerida, Niphatidae.